This is a long non-coding RNA of Megachile rotundata (alfalfa leafcutting bee), 2679 nucleotides long. The record is from RefSeq and is a predicted model, not a curated record. NCBI's taxonomy places the organism in Eukaryota, Metazoa, Arthropoda, Insecta, Hymenoptera, Megachilidae.
UGAAAGUGCAAUUUUAAUUUGUUUAAUACGCUGAGCGAUGAAUCAAUCAUGGAAUUCCGAAUUAAUACUUCAACUUGUACUCAAAUUUAAUAACUGAAUAAGCAUAAGCUGUAAUGAAGAUUUAAAUUGAUCAGAUAAGAUUGGAAACAUGCAACGUGGAAUCCAAAGUAGUUAGAUCACUGGAAAUCUCAGUUAGAUCACCAGCAUAGUUCUCCAAAAUGCAAUUGUUAAAGUAUCAUCAGAGAUCUAUCAAAGAUUAGAAAACAGCGUUGACACAAAAGCGUUGGUUCAGUUACAGGCAUCAUUACCCCAGCAAAUAAACAAGAAGAAUACACAUGAAAAUUAUCCAGUAUCAUCGCGGAUUACCAAGAAUUUUCUAACAGCUCAAUACAUCUGUACAGGUGUUAAACAGAUUUAUAUCUACACGAUAGUUAUUCGAAUACCUAUUUAAACAUACAAACACGUCCGUGAGUCCCAGAUACUCGAAGGUUCAUUAGAAACGAUUUAUAGUUAACGCAACCUUCAGUGUUAUAAUCUCGGAUCAAUUUCUCACAAACGCAAUUGAGUUUUGCUAAUGUAAACGGUGUCCAUGGAACGUGACUUUGGGAACGGUUUGUUACGUCCAGAUACAUACGUAUUAUAGACUCAUAAUCCGAGUCCAUUGAACCUAACUGUCCAGUAUUAUAUAGCGAUUGGAACUAGACAAAAAGAGAGGCCAUCCGUUGCCUUCGCAUAGAAGUUCUUCUAUUUCGAUCUAUGUGUUGGUUCAUUAACGACGAGGCCUAAUUAUACCGUUCUCUAUGACAGAACAUUAUUGAAACGUCGACCAAGACCUGAAAGCGGAUAAUCAAGGAUGUGCAUAUAACCGUCGGCUACAUUUCUGCGCAUAUGCAAUCUUCUAAUAGAUACAAAAAAGGGUCAUAAAGUUAACGAAGCGAGGAAAGCCAAGCAACAAUUAAGCGACAUCGAUUGCAACCCGUUAACAGGAAGUCGUUCCACGUCUAUCGAUAAAUUCAGCGUGUAUGCGCUCUAGAUGGAAUCCACGAUGCAUCAUUGUCUCUUCCACAUCGCCACGGGUAUCCUUUCCUCGGUUGAAUUCAUUUGGUAUUCCAGCCGAAGUAUGCCAGCGAAGUAACAGUACCUAACCGACGACCAGGGUGAGCCGUGAAACGGUCCACCUCUGGUGGUCCUAGCUGCCAGCUAGGUCAGUGCCACCUUGGGAUUUAAUGUCACUCGAGUGAGUGGUGCAACAAAAACGGGGAACAACGACACGGAGAUGUGACUCUGGACGGAGGAAACUCGGACGAUGAUAAUGGAAGUUGUAGGAGUGCCGGUAAACAGGCUCCGAAUACACGCCAGGUUGCGACUGGAACGAGGAGAGAGGAAGAUGAACGACAGCAUUGUUAUCGUUGAUUUAAUCACGCUCUUUAUUGUAUUCUUUCUGGAUCUUCUUUUUCUGAACACGCUUUUAAUUAUCCCAUUCUUAUGAGCGUUUUUUAUUCAAGACGCGACACGAGAGUUUGUAAACUUUUGGGAUAUUCGGAUGCGUUUUAAUAUUUAUGGAACCUUGUAUGAAACAUUUUGAAGCCAAGUAAUUAACGAAUCAUUUAUCGUAUUUUAGUGGCCGAACGGUGAGCAUUGUGCAAAAGACAGAAGAUAGAACGGUAUAAUUCGUAGUAUCAUUAUUGAUGCGCGAGGCGUGUUCAUUCAUGCGAAUACGUUCUUCGAACACGGAACUCGCGUGCAGUAAUCUUCCGGAACAAUUUUCUGCCUUUACAUUGUAACGCAACAAAGAUGAAAAAUCGGCCGGGGGAUUACGGACAUUAUUCUCGCCCAAUGUUGAAGCUGAUAGCGAUUUGUCUGCGACUCGCAUUCUUAAGGUUUCUCAGCAUCGACAAAAGGACGGGAGAUACAGUACUGCCAUCCUUCUGUAUUAUUCGAUGCAGACCUCUACGCGAGAGAACUCUUGCCAUAUGGUUCCUUUGUAAAUUAUUAACGAGAAUACGCCUGUCGCGGCCGGUAUUGGUAUAUCGAUAAAUCAUAGCCAAGGGUCUUAUUGUUAAUAUCGUGGAUCGUUGGUCACAGCAUCGCACGUGGAAUCCUGUAAUUACUUAAGCUGACCAAGCAGGAUGCCUUAAGGACUGUAGUUCGAAUCACGGUGGCGCGGAUUAUCAGAUAUCGGUAUCUUUCGUGAUUGAUAUUCGUCAAUGGCGUCGCACGAGAAUUGCAUAUGCAUCUCGUAUAUCAACCGAAGAACAAAAAUUGUAACAAACGAUUUGUUACUCCGAAUCUGGAUAUUUUUUCAAUAAACAUGGAAAGGAUGAACGGGAGAAGAAUGCACUCGGCUCGGAAACAAUGGCGUAUCUGUUGCUCGAGGGUCAAUGGACAUUACAAGGUUACGUAACGUUUCGAGAAAAAUAGUAAUGUGAAACUUGUUAUUGGAUGGUCACUGCUGAAACGUGGAAUAAGGCAAAUAACUUUUUAAGAUACUCAGUACGUAGUUACGGAGGACUCAAGAAGGAACUCUGUGUUGGUAACUUUUUCAAGUACUCAAGAAGUUUUUGUGGCAACCAAAAAUUAUGUACUUCGUGCAAUAAUAUUUUUAUUUAUGCUCGCUUAUCUGUGUGCCGAAUAAAAAUGCAAUUUUUGAAACUACUCUGAGAAUCAUAUCUAUAGAUA